Long non-coding RNA from Esox lucius (northern pike), 495 nucleotides. The record is from Ensembl. NCBI's taxonomy places the organism in Eukaryota, Metazoa, Chordata, Actinopteri, Esociformes, Esocidae.
CAGAAUUGGAAAAAGUAAAAAAAGAAAUACAAAUUGAGCGUGACCGGUACAAAAGCUACCUACGCUCCAUCCAGGGCAACGUCUGUACACUGCUCUAAGGGGAGGUGUUAGAGGUAUCGGGCAGUGCACCUUUUCAUCCCAGCACCUCACAGGCCAGUCAGGAAACAAUCUUUCCCUGCCCAGAUGGAAAGAUCCAUAUCGGGGGUGGAGCAUACAUAUCAGCAGGGAUCUGGAGCUGGAUCAGAGGAGCCAAAAAUGACUCCCGGUUCUGCAAGGACCUUGCUGUAGCCAUCUGGGAGUCAGAGGUCCUGCGGAACUGAUCCACUGAGAGGAAGGUAUGCAACAGGCUCAAAGGCCAAGGAGCUGUUGCCAAACCUCCCCUUACGCCUGAAAAAUAUCAAGCAGUUAAAGACUCAUUCAAGAGAUGGCUGCAGGAAAAAGGUGUCCCGGAACCAGAGGUGGCUUUUCGCGUUGCUGCAGUAAAAUUGGGAAGCA